ACGAACGUUGGCGGCGUGCUUAAUACAUGCAAGUCAACUGAAGCACCGGUAGUUAAUACUGGUGUGGAGGUGGCGCACGGGUGAGUAACACGUAGGUAAUCUGCCUUCAGGUCUGACAUAACCCCGAGAAAUCGGGGCUAAUAGCAGAUGAUGCAGCGGCUUGACAUCAAGACAGUUGUUAAAGCUUCGGCGCCUGAAGAUGAGCCUGCGUCUGAUUAGCUAGUUGGCGGAGUAAUAGCCCACCAAGGCGACGAUCAGUAGCUGGUCUGAGAGGAUGAUCAGCCACACUGGAACUGAGACACGGUCCAGACUCCUACGGGAGGCAGCAGUAAGGAAUAUUGCUCAAUGGGAGAAAUCCUGAAGCAGCAACGCCGCGUGAGGGAUGAAGGGCUUUUGCUCGUAAACCUCUGUAGUGAGGGAAAAAUUUCCAUUCUAUGGAAUAUGAUGGUACCUCAAAAGUAAGCCCCGGCUAACUACGUG
Molecule: ribosomal RNA, 480 nt
Filed under: uncultured bacterium
Lineage: Bacteria
Description: bacterial SSU rRNA
Rfam family: Bacterial small subunit ribosomal RNA
Source: RNAcentral